GACGAACGCUGGCGGCGUGCUUAACACAUGCAAGUCGAACGGUAAGGCCCCUUCGGGGGUACACGAGUGGCGAACGGGUGAGUAACACGUGAGCAACCUGCCCUUGACUCUGGAAUAACAGUUGGAAACAGCUGCUAAUACUGGAUAUUCAUCGUCUCCUUCCUGGGGGGUGGUGGAAAGCUCCGGCGGUCAGGGGUGGGCUCGCGGCCUAUCAGCUUGUUGGUGAGGUAAUGGCUCACCAAGGCUUCGACGGGUAGCCGGCCUGAGAGGGCGACCGGCCACACUGGGACUGAGAUACGGCCCAGACUCCUACGGGAGGCAGCAGUGGGGAAUAUUGCACAAUGGGCGCAAGCCUGAUGCAGCAACGCCGCGUGCGGGAUGACGGCCUUCGGGUUGUAAACCGCUUUCAGUAGGGACGAAGGGUGACUGACGGUACCUACAGAAGAAGGACCGGCUAACUACGUG
Molecule: ribosomal RNA, 465 nt
Filed under: uncultured bacterium
Lineage: Bacteria
Description: partial 16S ribosomal RNA
Rfam family: Bacterial small subunit ribosomal RNA
Source: RNAcentral